Molecule: ribosomal RNA, 460 nt
Filed under: uncultured bacterium
Lineage: Bacteria
Description: partial 16S ribosomal RNA
Rfam family: Bacterial small subunit ribosomal RNA
Source: RNAcentral
CCUACGGGAGGCAGCAGUGAGGAAUAUUGGUCAAUGGGCGCGAGCCUGAACCAGCCAAGUAGCGUGAAGGAUGACUGCCCUACGGGUUGUAAACUUCUUUUAUAAAGGAAUAAAGUGAGGCACGUGUGCCUUUUUGUAUGUACUUUAUGAAUAAGGAUCGGCUAACGCCGUGCCAUCAGCCGCGGUAAUACGGAGGAUCCGAGCGUUAUCCGGAUUUAUUGGGUUUAACGGGAGCGUAGAUGGGGUGGUAAGUCAGUUGUGAAAGUUUGCGGCUCAACCGUAAAAUCGCAAUUGAUAAUGGCAGUCUUGAGUACAGUUGAGGUAGGCGGAAUUCGAGGUGUAGCGGUGAAAUGCGUAGAUAUCACGAAGAACUCCGAUUGCGAAGGCAGCUUACUAAACUGCCACUGACAUUGAUGCUCGAAAGUGUGGGUAUCAAACAGGAUUAGAUACCCCAGUAGUC